UGUUAUAGCCGAUGCUUUGUCCCGUAGAGGGAGGCCUGAGCUUCCCCAGUUCACUGGCUAAAGUGACCCCACUCAGUUCGGUCUCAAAGAGGGGAGAGAUGUGACGGGGCAGGAAUCAUUUGACCAGGGAAUGU
Molecule: long non-coding RNA, 134 nt
Organism: Gopherus evgoodei (Goodes thornscrub tortoise)
Lineage: Eukaryota; Metazoa; Chordata; Testudines; Testudinidae
Exons: 4
Source: RefSeq, a predicted model, not a curated record